CCUACGGGAGGCAGCAGUGGGGAAUUUUGCGCAAUGCUCGUAAGAGUGACGCAGCGACGCCGCGUGAAGGAAGAAGGCUUUCGGGUUGUAAACUUCUUUUGUCAGGGACGAAGCAAGUGACGGUACCUGACGAAUAAGCCACGGCUAACUACGUGCCAGCAGCCGCGGUAAUACGUAGGUGGCAAGCGUUAUCCGGAUUUAUUGGGUGUAAAGGGCGUGUAGGCGGGAAUGCAAGUCAGAUGUGAAAACUAUGGGCUCAACCCAUAGCCUGCAUUUGAAACUGUAUUUCUUGAGUGCUGGAGAGGCAAUCGGAAUUCCGUGUGUAGCGGUGAAAUGCGUAGAUAUACGGAGGAACACCAGUGGCGAAGGCGGAUUGCUGGACAGUAACUGACGCUGAGGCGCGAAAGCGUGGGGAGCAAACAGGAUUAGAUACCCCAGUAGUC
Molecule: ribosomal RNA, 443 nt
Filed under: uncultured bacterium
Lineage: Bacteria
Description: partial 16S ribosomal RNA
Rfam family: Bacterial small subunit ribosomal RNA
Source: RNAcentral